Molecule: ribosomal RNA, 204 nt
Filed under: uncultured Actinomycetales bacterium
Lineage: Bacteria; Bacillati; Actinomycetota; Actinomycetes; Actinomycetales
Description: partial 16S ribosomal RNA
Rfam family: Bacterial small subunit ribosomal RNA
Source: RNAcentral
GCCUUGACUUUGGGAUAACUUCAGGAAACUGGGGCUAAUACCGGAUAGGAGCUCCUGCUGCAUGGUGGGGGUUGGAGAGUUUCGGCGGUUGGGGAUGGACUCGCGGCUUAUCAGCUUGUUGGUGGGGUAGUGGCUUACCAAGGCUUUGACGGGUAGCCGGCCUGAGAGGGUGACCGGCCACAUUGGGACUGAGAUACGGCCCAG